UACGCACGCUGGCGGCGUGCUUAACACAUGCAAGUCGAACGGAAAGGCCCUGCUUUUGUGGGGUGCUCGAGUGGCGAACGGGUGAGUAACACGUGAGUAACCUGCCCUUGACUUUGGGAUAACUUCAGGAAACUGGGGCUAAUACCGGAUACGAGCUCCUGCUGCAUGGUGGGGGUUGGAAAGUUUCGGCGGUUGGGGAUGGACUCGCGGCUUAUCAGCUUGUUGGUGGGGUAGUGGCUUACCAAGGCUUUGACGGGUAGCCGGCCUGAGAGGGUGACCGGCCACAUUGGGACUGAGAUACGGCCCAGACUCCUACGGGAGGCAGCAGUGGGGAAUAUUGCACAAUGGGCGGAAGCCUGAUGCAGCAACGCCGCGUGCGGGAUGACGGCCUUCGGUUUGUAAACCGCUUUCGCCUGUGACGAAGCGUGAGUGACGGUAAUGGGUAAAGAAGCACCGGCUAACUACGUG
RNAcentral lists this ribosomal RNA (468 nucleotides) under uncultured bacterium. Its description in RNAcentral is "partial 16S ribosomal RNA". It matches the Rfam family "Bacterial small subunit ribosomal RNA", at positions 29 to 507 of the family's 1533-position model. The record is from RNAcentral.